CCAAGGAGUCUAAAUUGUGCGCGAGCCAUUGGAUAUUAUCUCCAUAGGCGAAACGAAUGUGAUGAGGUUGGAUCAUUUUUAUGCGCACCUCGAACGUGUGCUUUGUUCGCAUUGCGCUCAGUCUGAGUGCACAGAUUAGUACCCGAAAGAUGGUGAACUAUGCUUGAGCAGGAUGAAGCUAGAGGAAACUCUGGUGGAAGUCCGAAGCGGUUCUGACGUGCAAAUCGAUCGUCAGACUUGAGUAUAGGGGCGAAAGACUAAUCGAACCAUC
RNAcentral lists this ribosomal RNA (271 nucleotides) under Halalaimus sp. MC12-7. RNAcentral describes it as "partial 28S ribosomal RNA". It matches the Rfam family "Eukaryotic large subunit ribosomal RNA", at positions 666 to 944 of the family's 3401-position model. Lineage: Eukaryota; Metazoa; Nematoda; Enoplea; Enoplida; Oxystominidae. The record is from RNAcentral.